Molecule: long non-coding RNA, 377 nt
Organism: Homo sapiens (human)
Lineage: Eukaryota; Metazoa; Chordata; Mammalia; Primates; Hominidae
Exons: 3
Source: RefSeq, a predicted model, not a curated record
GCCACUAGAUGGCACUAGAUGUUCGGAUUAAAGUGCCUUCCUGAGCUCCACGGGCCCAGGGCGAGGGCAGGCAGGGUCUGAAGACAGCUUCUCUCGGCCACCGUCAUUCUCUCUCCCACUUCGCUCUUCACUUCUCAUCCCUUCCUCAUCCCAUUUAAACAUUAGAUUCCUUCCAGCAGCGGUGUUUGCGUGAUUUCAAAGGUAAGGACACAGAAGCCCAGGGAAUAUAAGUAACCUCCCAAAAAUCGCACAGCAGCUUGAGAAAAUCCUGAAGAUGGAUUCUGUUGGAACCAUGUUGGCUUAUCUGUCAUCUCUGGACUAAUCAAUGGGGACAGCAGGAUAAGGUAGUAUGACUGGCUCAAUCUGGAUUAUGUGUG